UCCGGUGGUAAUGGCUAAGGGGAUCCACCUGUUCCCAUUCCGAACACAGCAGUUAAGCCCUUACACGUCGACAAUACUUGGCUGGCAACGGCCUGGGAAGAUAGAUCGCCGCCGGAU
This 117-nucleotide ribosomal RNA is filed under the name Bacillota bacterium. Lineage: Bacteria; Bacillati; Bacillota. RNAcentral also lists the same sequence under 1 other name. The record is from RNAcentral.